GUCCCUGCAUGCAUCAUAUGACUAUCGUUAGUGCAAGUUCAAUUCUCUAUGAGAUAAAACACUUCUGCUACGCCCAUGCCCCGAUCAGCAUAAAUGCAACAUACAUGAGAGGCUCGUCUUUCUGUGGCUGCAAUCAAGCAUUGGAAUGAGGUUAAAGACAAAGCAGAGAGGUUAAUGAUCGACAAAUAGACUUCUUACCUGAACUGAAGUGGAAUCAUGAGAGCUAAUGGAUGCAUGAAAAACAAUAUAGUGCAUGUCGGUGAGUGCGCAGACAGUGUCAAAGAGCAACUUGGGCCGGUCUCGACUCCAUACUGAGCAACACUGCUCAUAGUCCCUAUCAGCCGCCAUUAACUGGUGGAGGCGCCUCUCAGUAUGCGUCCGGCUUGCAGUAGGGUCUGACAGCCUCACACUCCGGCGUUCCCCGUUAUAGUGAUGGGCCUCAACAACAUUCUCCAGCUGUGCCUGGAUUUGGGCCACACGGUAGGGGUCCGUGAUUGGGCCAUGCUUUGAGUCAUCUUCCACGUAGACUAUGCAUGCUGCCCGUGCAUUGUGUGUCCAUGCCACGGCAGCAGAUAUGUGGCAUCCCAUCUCAGCUAGCACAGCUGAUAUUUCUGACAUUAGCCCUGGCCUGUCUGUUCCUGUCAUUUCCAAAGCUGUGUGUUCUGUCAAGACAUAUCGGGGCCUAACGUCUCUACCAAUAAAGAUGAUUAUAGUUAAAUCAACUGAAGAAAGCUGGACAGGUGGAAGUUAAAAAUGGCUACACAAACCUGCUGGAUGUAAUGGAUGAUGCUUUCAUCAACAAUUUUGUUUCCCAGUUGGUCUGUCACGUGGAAUACUGGCAAACAUGCAAUUAGAACAGCCCCACAUGAAUAGAGAAACAAAGAUGGAGAGAGGAGACUAACCAUCCAUUAACCAACCACCAUCAGAGCAGAUAUAUGAUUUGGAAAUCACUAGGUCAAGAUCUGUCAAAACUUGAACCAUCUCCAGCAGUACCCCAUGCUUAUUGGCACUAUCAACCUGCAAUCCAAGAGUUGUGUCUGCAAAGUUAAAACUCUUUCUCGGAGAAUGAUACAGAGCUCCUUAACAUGAUGCACAGUCAAACCUCCAACAUUGCAAUUGCAUUAGUAGCUCGCUUAGUAUCUGGGUUGCAAAGGUAUUUUUUCACUAUCAAUGUUUGGUGAUUUUUUAUUUAAAUAUUUUUUUUUAAUUUUAUUUUCAAUGUGAUGCAACACUUCUUCAACCCCAAUGAUAGAAGACAGUGUGCAUUAUGGUUCAUAUAAAACUAUUCAGUAAACAUCACUCCUUAGUGCUUCCACCAGCCAAAAGUUGGUCUCUGCUUUAUAAAAGCAAAGCAAAGGGUGAAGUGGUGAACCAUGUGACAUGUAAAUUUUCCCCUACACAUUAUUAUCACCAUAA
Long non-coding RNA from Ipomoea triloba (trilobed morning glory), 1416 nucleotides. RefSeq lists it as uncharacterized. The record is from RefSeq and is a predicted model, not a curated record. The transcript is spliced from 6 exons. NCBI's taxonomy places the organism in Eukaryota, Viridiplantae, Streptophyta, Magnoliopsida, Solanales, Convolvulaceae.